GGACUGGUCCUGCUGGAUGGACCCACACUCUCUGAGGCCCUACUACUACUGUUCUUCUGCAGUCCUGGGACCUGGAUACGGCCUCCCAUGCACCAAGAUCUCUUCUAUGCCUACCAGCAUUUGGCAAAAAAAGCAGGGCAUCCUGGAAAGACAGAAGCAGCAGCAACAUAAAUUAAGAAGGG
Grus americana (Whooping crane) is the source of this 182-nucleotide long non-coding RNA. RefSeq lists it as uncharacterized. NCBI's taxonomy places the organism in Eukaryota, Metazoa, Chordata, Aves, Gruiformes, Gruidae. The record is from RefSeq and is a predicted model, not a curated record. The transcript has 3 exons.